Long non-coding RNA from Dendroctonus ponderosae (mountain pine beetle), 821 nucleotides. RefSeq lists it as uncharacterized. NCBI's taxonomy places the organism in Eukaryota, Metazoa, Arthropoda, Insecta, Coleoptera, Curculionidae. The record is from RefSeq and is a predicted model, not a curated record. The transcript has 2 exons.
UUCACCUGAUGCAGUAGAUACCGCGGAUCUUAUUUUAUUUCUCGACCAGCUGUUUGAUUCCCUGAAUGUUCUGAAGAGUAAUAAGUCAAGCCAAACCUUUAAAACAUCGCGUAACAAUACAUUCGGAACAUGAAGCGUUUUGGCGCAAUUCGCUAACCAUACUCGAAAGUAUGGUUUUUUUGUCCUAAAAAACAGAAGAGGGUAAUGGUUUCAACUUUGAAAAACUUAAAGUUUACACUGAGAGGCGUUUUACAUCUAAGAUCAAAACUGUUAGUUAAAGAAAACUUUAGAUUUAUUCUAACAGGAGCUUUUCCUCAGGACCCUUUAGAAAACUUUUUUAGUUACGUCAGAAUUCGUUCUUUAUUGUGAAAUAAGAGCACUCUUUAUCAAUCUGUAAUAGAAGACAUGAGAAAACUCGGUUUUUUCAAAACCCCUGAAUUUGAAGCGUAUUUAAUGAGGAUCGGACUGAACAAAAAUAGGACUUUGAUGAAACAAGAAAGGAAACACGAUUCAACCAGCACUGUACCAACUUGUAAGUGAGUAAACAGCCAGACUGCAGUCCCAGACAACUCACAGCGCCAGCUCUAGAAGGUACAUAAGAGAGCCCAUUUCCCAAACCUCAUCGAUAACAAAAAAUAAUUAUAUGUAAAUCAAGUAACUGAAAAAAUAACAGGUAAUAAUUGGAUACUUCUGAUCACUUACAUAUUUGUUAACAUAUUUAUUAUUUUUAAUGUAACUUAAACUUAUUUAAUAUGUGUAUGUAAAUUUUUGCUUUUUUUGGAACACUAACGUUAUAACUUCAAUACAAUUACUAAAUAUGC